CUCAUCCGUGCGUUCGGCAAUCCCUCCACUCCGCCUGGUCCCGCUUUUCCUCCCAGCCUCUGGAUUAGAGGCUGGGAGACCGUUUUGAGUCUCGGGAGGGAAGGGGGAGGGGAAACGUAGGAACUAGACCGCCACAAUCGAUGGCCGAGCGCCUAAACGCCCGCGACUGUCUUCUCUCUUUGAGCUGGGGAUCCGCGAGCGGAGCGAAGUGGCGGGGGCCGAGGGUUGGGGGCAGGAUGGAGACGAGGUAAGCUGUAGCGCUCGCUCUCGGGUGGCGGCAGCUCUCUUUGGCCCGUCUUACUGGGGCGGGGGCUCCUGGAUGAGUAGGAAGGACGGGAGUGACCGUGGGAUCGAGAAGGUCUCUCCAGACGGAAAGCUUAUGCGACUUGGAGGAAGAGAGCAGGAAGAGGAGGAAGCCCUCGCGCUGCGGGACGGGGGAGCCCCCAUCUGUGUACAAUUUUUGCGCACAUUUUCAAGCCGAGGAGGCUGCGUCACACGCGAGUGUACACAGCCUGAAGUCAGGCCACAAAGUGGAAGCGCUGCUCCGACGAACACCGAAACUGCUGGAGGCCCUUGGACGCCCCAGCCGGAGAGUCCCAGGCUGGGCUGGGACGCGGAGGCGAACUGCGCCCGGAAUUGCGCUUGGAGCGGCAAAAAGUGUGUGACGGCAUCCGCCGGUGUCGAGCGUCAUCUAACUCAAUUGGACCACCGUCCAAAAAUUACUGGCGGAACUUUUAAGCCGCGGAGUUUUCAGCAAAUCAUCCUGUGUCUGUCCCUCAGUUUCUUCAUGGGCAAAAUGAGGGAUUCGCGCUGGAUGAUCGCCGGGGGUUCCUUCGGAUCUAAUCCUUUUGCCACCCACCUCUGAAGUUCUGAAUCUGACAAUCAGCAGUCAUUACUUAUAACAAGAAACCUUGUUCUUGUUCCAACUGUGUGAGAACACAGAUCUGGGCCCAGUGAUAUUUCUGUUGGCCUCCUAAUUGCUCGUUUCGAUAUUCUUUUCCAACAAUUGAUAGUAUCAGAAUUUAGUAUAACAACUAGUACGGCGCGUAACAAUUGAUUAACUUGUAACCACAUAUCAACAAAUUUCGAGCCCAAGAGAAAUUUUUGGCAAGAAUUAGUAUCAUAAUUCAUACCGUGAAAUGCACUACAAUUCUGCAAUACAGAGGUUUUUCGUAAUCUUCACCAUAGGCUCCUCACAGCAUGGCAUGACCCUGAAAUCUUACAAGACUAAAAUAACAGGAUGCAAGCUCAGGCAAGUUCUAUGAAGCUGGAAGGUCUUGAAUAUGAUAUGGUAAAGGACUUCUGUCCUGUUUGAGAAACAGCAGCCUAAGGAAACCUGGAGAGAUUUUAUCCCCACGUUGACUGGAAUGGUAGUGGUUGUUGUUUUGUUUCAUUUUCCCCCUUUCUUCCAGCUACUGUAUCUCUCUAAGACUUAUCUUUGAAGUAUUAUUACAGUAUGUUUUUUAGUUGCUUUGCUAUGUUGAUUGCAUUCUGGGAUUCUUGAAUUCCCUCUUUGCCUGUCUCUAGAGAGUACUUCAUAAAAUAAACAAAUGUGGUUAACCACUGUGGUAAGGACUGUCUCUAGGCAAAACUAUGAAGCCUGUAAAGUUACCUUUAGGCACCCCUUUCUUCUUUUUUAUUAUCUUUUCACUCACUCUGUGUUAUCCAAACACUAAUAGCUACAACCACCAUUCACCCUGGACCGAAGCUUGCUACUACUUGACUGCCAAACCUACCCUCCAGGGGGAGGGGAAAAAAAAAAAAAAACUUCUGGGACGGUGGCAGCCUCCUAAUACCACCUGGCAUUUCCUUAACAUCUCAACUAUUUCACUAUCUGAAUUUGUUUCCCUCUUUUAUUUCGCCCCAUUGCAGUCCAUCCUCCAAUGAGGUCUCUCAAAGUAAUUUUUCAAAAUAAGAAUCUGACUAUAUCUCACUCUUAGUAAACUCCAGACACUCUCUAUUACCUUCAGGAUCAAAAAUAAAAUCCUCUGACCUUGCCCUUUUCCACUUUUCUUGUCAUAGACUUCAUCCCCCUCCACAUAAUCUACUAGACAGGGACAUUGGCUUCCUUGCUGUUCCAGGUACUAGAUAUUUAGUCUCCCAACUCCAGGUAUUUUCACUAAUACUCCUCUAUGUCUAGAAUGCCUUCUUUCACUUCCAUCUCUGACUGCCCUGGCUUCUUGUUUCCGCUAAAGUUCCACAACAAUAAGUCUCACUACCCCACUUCAUAAUACUGCCUUUUCUUUGAGAUUUUCCCUUUUUUUUUUUUUUGUAUAUGUCUUGUUUGUUCAUAAGCAUUUAUUUGUUUUUUUUGUUUGUUUGUUUUUUUCCACCUCACCAUUAGACUGCAAGUUCUUUAAGGGCAAAGACCAUUUUUUUUUCCUUUGUGUCCUGUACCUAGUACUCAGUAAGUGCUUAAUAAACGCUAGCUAACUGACAUGAUUCCCUUCCUCCUCCAACCUUCCCAAUGCUGGCAUCCUCCCUCUGAGAGUCUCUCAUUUACAGAGUAUAUAUUUUGUGGAAUAAAAUUGUUUUCUUUUGUCUUAUUUAUUAGGAUGUGAACUUCUUGAGAACAGGUACUGGUUUUGCUUUUAUAUUCCUGGUACUUGGCUUAAUACUGAGAAGGCUUAAUAAAUACUUGUAGAUUUUUCCCAGCU
This 2657-nucleotide long non-coding RNA is filed under the name Sarcophilus harrisii (Tasmanian devil). Its description in RNAcentral is "lncRNA (ENSSHAG00000029080.1)". Lineage: Eukaryota; Metazoa; Chordata; Mammalia; Dasyuromorphia; Dasyuridae. The record is from RNAcentral.